UACAGAGGGUGCGAGCGUUAAUCGGAAUUACUGGGCGUAAAGCGUGCGUAGCCGGUCUUGUAAGUCGGGUGUGAAAUCCCCGGGCUCAACCUGGGAAUUGCAUUCGAGACUGCAAGGCUUGGGUGCGGAAGAGGGAAGCGGAAUUUCCGGUGUAGCGGUGAAAUGCGUAGAUAUCGGAAGGAACAUCAGUGGCGAAAGCGGCUUCCUGGUCCAGCACCGACGUUCAGGCACGAAAGCGUGGGGAGCAAACAGG
This 253-nucleotide ribosomal RNA is filed under the name uncultured bacterium. Its description in RNAcentral is "partial 16S ribosomal RNA". It matches the Rfam family "Bacterial small subunit ribosomal RNA", at positions 524 to 776 of the family's 1533-position model. The record is from RNAcentral.